This is a microRNA precursor of Oreochromis aureus, 64 nucleotides long. NCBI's taxonomy places the organism in Eukaryota, Metazoa, Chordata, Actinopteri, Cichliformes, Cichlidae. The record is from Ensembl.
GAAAUGCUAUCAAAGAGAACUUCAGGUUAUGUAUAUAACCCUAGUUCUCUGGAGUAGCAUUAGU